This 706-nucleotide ribosomal RNA is filed under the name uncultured bacterium. RNAcentral describes it as "bacterial SSU rRNA". It matches the Rfam family "Bacterial small subunit ribosomal RNA", at positions 76 to 814 of the family's 1533-position model. The record is from RNAcentral.
GGAGCAAUCCCUAAGUAAAGUGGCGUACGGGUGAGUAACACGUGGAUCAUCUACCUUCUAGUGGGGAAUACCCCUGGAAAACCGGGGAUAAUACCGCAUAAGCUCGUGAGAGGAAAGCAGCAAUGCGCUGGAAGAGGAGUCCGCGGCUGAUUAGCUAGUUGGCGGGGUAACGGCCCACCAAGGCGAAGAUCGGUAGCCGGCCUGAGAGGGCACACGGCCACACUGGCACUGAAACACGGGCCAGACUCCUACGGGAGGCAGCAGUGGGGAAUCUUGCACAAUGGGGGAAACCCUGAUGCAGCGACGCCGCGUGAGCGAUGAAGCCCUUCGGGGUGUAAAGCUCUUUCGACGGGAACGAUAAUGACGGUACCCGAAGAAGAAGCUGCGGCUAACUACGUGCCAGCAGCCGCGGUAAUACGUAGGCAGCGAGCGUUGUUCGGAGUUACUGGGCGUAAAGGGUGUGUAGGCGGUUCUCUAAGUUUGGUGUGAAAUCUCCCGGCUCAACUGGGAGGGUGCGCCGAAUACUGAAGGACUAGAGUACGGGAGAGGAGAGUGGAAUUCCUGGUGUAGCGGUGAAAUGCGUAGAUAUCAGGAGGAACACCGGUGGUGUAGACGGCUCUCUGGACCGUAACUGACGCUGAGACACGAAAGCGUGGGUAGCAAACAGGAUUAGAUACCCUGGUAGUCCACGCCCUAAACGAUGCAU